AGCGAAGGGUGAUAAGUAGUAUAAAUUAAUAGAAUUUUAGUAAAUUAUUAAAUCUUUAAACGCACAUUACGCCCCUUAGUAUUCUAUAGGGUAUACCUAUUUAAGCGAUAUUUAUACCUUUAAGCUCUACUUAGUAUUAGGUAUUUAUCUCGCUUUAUACGUAAACUCGCCUUAAAGAUAUUAGUAGCUAGUAUUAUAGCCUAGAGCGUAGUAUAAUUUACGCCUCUUAUUAUAAGUAUUAGUAUCUAUAAAGCUUAUAAUUUAACUCUUAACCUUAGAUUAGGUAGGGAUACCCGCUAAACUUAA
Molecule: ribosomal RNA, 306 nt
Filed under: uncultured fungus
Lineage: Eukaryota; Fungi
Description: eukaryotic LSU rRNA
Rfam family: 5.8S ribosomal RNA (bases 1-110)
Source: RNAcentral